AGCAGCCGCCACGGUAAUACGAAGGGGGCUAGCGUUGUUCGGAUUUACUGGGCGUAAAGGGCGCGUAGGCGGACUGAUAAGUCAGGGGUGAAAUCCCAAGGCUCAACCUUGGAACUGCCUUUGAUACUGUUUGUCUUGAGUUCGAGAGAGGUGAGUGGAACUCCGAGUGUAGAGGUGAAAUUCGUAGAUAUUCGGAAGAACACCAGUGGCGAAAGCGACUCACUGGCCCAUUACUGACGCUGAGGCUCGAAAGCGUGGGGAGCAAACAGGAUUAGAUACCCCUGUAGUCCCUGUCUCUUAUAC
Molecule: ribosomal RNA, 303 nt
Filed under: uncultured bacterium
Lineage: Bacteria
Description: partial 16S ribosomal RNA
Rfam family: Bacterial small subunit ribosomal RNA
Source: RNAcentral